CUUAUGUUUGGACUUCUAGUAGUAGAGCAAAUCCCGGUCGUCGAUUCUUCUGAUGUCCACACUAUGAGAACGAUGAAAGUCGAGGAUGUGAUUACUUUUGUUGGAUCGAUAAAUCACAUGGUAAGAGAAGUACAGAUGCUACACCUGGAUUGCGAAACCAAAUCAAGAUUUUCGAAGAAGAUAAGAAACGCAAUGAGAAUGUUAUUAGAAAAUUAAUUUUUAUCAUUUUUAUUUGCCUUCUCAUCAUUGUCCAACUUAUAUUGCGUUGAAGAUAUGGGUUGUCCCAAAAUGCAAAUGUUUUGUAUGUCUUAUGUUCUCAAAACUUGUUUAACUUAAUUGUGUAGAUCUUAAUAGAACCGUGUGGAUGAUGACGAAAAUUUCAUUUGGUAUGAAGUACCCACAACGUUCUCAAAAUUUUAUGUUUUCUACAUUUCUAAUUUACGUAGCAAAUUUCGUCAAUGGGUUCAAUGUGAAGUUGCAAAAUUGUAUAUUAUUCACAUCUUCGUAUUUGUUAUGUGAAGUAGCGCAAUGAGAAUGUUCUAUAUUCCAUAUUUUUCCUCA
Long non-coding RNA from Cannabis sativa, 561 nucleotides. RefSeq lists it as uncharacterized. The transcript has 2 exons. Lineage: Eukaryota; Viridiplantae; Streptophyta; Magnoliopsida; Rosales; Cannabaceae. The record is from RefSeq and is a predicted model, not a curated record.